ACCAGUAGCGUUGUUUUGUUGUACGUUAAAUCAGCGACUUGUGAAGAGUUGUGUUUUGUCGUGUUUGAGCAGUUGGUCCUGACGCGUUAGCUAGCUAAGCGGCUAAGUUAGCUAGCGGGCUAAUUAACAUAGGUGGCUAACUUACCGCUGAACACCUGUGUUAGUUGCUGUCGCUGCUGUCCGUCAUUAUUAGGAUGACCUUCUCAACCUGUAUUUCUCUGCUGUGUAUUUUAGCUUUUAAAAAAGUUAUUUUACUUUAAGGUUAACUGAAACCCGUUCAGCUGCACUGAAGUUUAACAUUCAGCUGGUUUGAAUUAAACCACGCUUAACAUUGUGCAGCAUUACCUCUCUGAAUCUCCAUAAUUUCAUUAAAUUCCUUCUCUCUUCCACUGCUCAAGUUCAAUCCAGUAUAUAAAGUGACAUUAAUAGUGAAUAAACUAACAACCAGCCAUUGUAUUUAUUUAUUAUUGCAUGUAUUUGCAGUAAAACAUGAGUUGAAACAUCCUACUUUUGGAUCUAGAACUGCACAAGCCGUUCAUUUUCAGUCACCUGACGAGUUAAACUCCCCCUUUUAUGUGAGGUUGAAGCAGAAAGUCUGAGUUAACAAAGAAAGUUGUUUAUAAUUUGCGAUACCUGUCAUCUCUGACUGAGGCUUUAGUUUUUGUUGAGCUGAUUUACAUGUAGAAACUUUGUUCAGGAAGAUUUCUCAGUAGCUCAGAGGACAGGCUGCUUUUUACACAACCUUGUAAGAGAAUGUCUGUCAAUGCUUUCAGCAGAAUUUAGAAACACAACACUUCCUAAACAGAUAUUUUGAGGCUGUGAGGCUGAAAGUUUGAGAGUAUAUCAGUGUGUUUGUUUGUGAUCUUUCUGUUUCUAAGUGGAAGCUGAAUUAGUGAGGAUGACUCCUGCUCCUGUCAUCUCUAAGCUCCUCACACAUCUUUACCUGCACAUGAGGAAAAUCACUCCUGUAGAAUGCAGUGGUUCAUCAGAACCUCUGGGGAUGUCCUGUGGAUUCUGUGGAUCCUGUGGGUUGCAGGGUGGGUCCUACCUAGACCAGGCUGAUCCUGGACCAUCCCACAGAUGCUCCAUCAGAUCUGGAUGUGGGGAGUGUGGAACCCAGAUGUUCAGAGGGAGAUGAUGCCACAUCUGGUCCAGCUGAUGGAAGGUCUUGAAGUUCUCUGACUGGCCUCGACUGAAGAUGGUCGUCUCACUGGAUUUAAGGUUCAGAUGCUCAGUAACAAACUCCACCAAUGAGCCAACAGGGAAGCUUUAGGUUUAUUAAAUGUUGCUAUGAAGGUAUCGCUGUUUUUCUUUGUGAAUGCAAUGUGCUCCAACUGAAAGCUUGAAUUAGAACUUAGAAGUAAAUCCUUCCAUCUGAAAGGAUUUAGUUGCAUUAAUAACCUCAUAACAUUCUAAUUUUUAUUCCAGUCUUGGUUGGAAAUAGAAUCUCUGUAUUGAUUCAGGUAAAAACUGAACUUCACAGCAUGUUGGAGCAAAACAACCAGAUGAAAACUGUGAUGGUGUUGGAUUGUCAGACCGUAAUGUUGCAGCUCAAAGCAGCUUUUCUAGCUCAGUUCAUUCUGACAUUCAGCUAUGAAUCAACACAGCAGAUGGUGAUCCAUGCUGUGGAAGUCUCACAUCUCCUGAUUUAAUGGAGCUGCUUUGCACUUUUUACACUGUUUAUUCACCAACACUUUAUUUAAUAAAAGUCCCAUCUAGUUUUUAUGAGGAAUGUGAUGUUUUAAUUUCUCUGUGAAUAACUGCAGUCUAAUGCAACAGCUGGAGUUGUAACAUCUGUCCUGAUAUUGAUCAUGAAGUAUUGAUCAGAAUACUUAUGGUUAGCAGUCAUCCCUGAAGUUUUACAUUAAAAUCUUUACUUGUGUUGUGAACUUUGGUAAGAAGCAGAAACUUUAGCGUUGCCAUGGAUACAUGAGUGUUAAAUUCUGUCCAUGUUUCCAUUUUGGGAAAUGCAGUCCAGUUCCAGAAUGUGGAGGAAUUUAGUCUCACAAUCACAGACAACAAAUAUUAUCUGAAAGUCGGGUUAUUGUUGUUUAUCAGCACAAUACAAAAGAUUAUGUUAGAAAUAUUCCAGUUAAGACUCUAGAAUAUCAUGAUUUAUGUAAAUUUACCUCAAUAAUAUGAAUGUUCAGGUUAAGAUUGUACAGUGAUAUUUAUUAUGUAAGUUUAGCUGAUUAAAGUUUAUGACUCUGCACUAAAAUAUUAUUUAAAUUGACAUCAUUAUUAUAAUAUUUAGGGUCAGACCCUACAGUAUUGAGAUUAAGAAAUCAAAUAUUCUAUAAAAUGUAAAUACACUGAACUCAUUUGGAUAUAUUUAAGUGAGACUCUACAAUAUUAUUUGACACAAAUCUAUCUAAAUCAAAAUUUUAAUAAUUUUCAUGCCAAACAUUUACUGGACUGAUUUAAAUAUUAAAAUCACUCCUUUCUAAUCCUCUGCUGUACGUUCAAACCUGAGGCCUUAAAUAGAAACACACAAGUAUCUGAUUGAAGGAACUUCUGCAGAGUCCUGGUUCCAGAACAUGAUGAUAGAAUUAUAGACAAACUUUAACAAAAGCUGCCUGAGAGUUUACAGGUUUUUAUGUUGGAUUUCUUCAGUAAUUUAAUGAGUUAUCAGCAAUAAUCAAGUGUUCAUUUGAUGAACUUCAUUUCCUAAAACAUCCAGAAUUGGAGCUCAUAUCUUUGGCAGCUGUAAAGUUUCUGCUCCUUCAAAGUUCACAACACAAUGAAUGAAUUCCUAAAACACUCUCAAUGCUGGAGAGCGUUUGAUGCUGAAGCAGUGAGCAGUUUUUCUGUUUCUUCUCUGGAGAUGCACAAUGAGGGACGUCUGCAGAGAAUGAGAAAGAGUCUCACCACAUCCUGACAUGAGGAAAAAGACUUUAUUGAAGACUACAAUGAGAAAAACUAUCAGACAGCAGACGGCUGCAUUCAAGCUGAGCUCUGAACAUUUGAUCUGGAACAGGAAUUCAAUAACGGCAGCAUGAGCUUCAUUUCAGUCUGUAGCUGCUGAAUUCAUGGAUGAAUCAUCUGGCACUAGAGAAGAAGACCAUCAAACAUCCAUGUCAGCUGAUGGAGGUCCAAGAGUCUCACCAAACAAACAACCUACAGAGUGAAGACCUUGAAUCUGAUUGGACGGCCUCCUAUUCAGCCACGUGUGAACAAAUGCCUCUAAGCUGAUUUGUUUUCUAAAAUAAAUCUAGUUUGAGUCCUAAUCUA
This is a long non-coding RNA of Amphiprion ocellaris (clown anemonefish), 3231 nucleotides long. RefSeq lists it as uncharacterized. The record is from RefSeq and is a predicted model, not a curated record. The transcript has 3 exons. NCBI's taxonomy places the organism in Eukaryota, Metazoa, Chordata, Actinopteri, Pomacentridae.